GGCGCGCUCUGCGCGCACCGGCGGACGGCUCAGUAACACGUCGGUAACCUACCCUCGGGAGGGGGAUAACCCCGGGAAACUGGGGCUAAUCCCCCAUAGGCCUGAGGUACUGGAAGGUCCUCAGGCCGAAAGGGUCUCUGACCGCCCGAGGAUGGGCCGGCGGCCGAUUAGGUAGUUGGUGGGGUAACGGCCCACCAAGCCGAAGAUCGGUACGGGCCAUGAGAGUGGGAGCCCGGAGAUGGACACUGAGACACGGGUCCAGGCCCUACGGGGCGCAGCAGGCGCGAAACCUCCGCAAUGCGGGCAACCGCGACGGGGGGACCCCCAGUGCCGUGGCAUCGCCACGGCUUUUCCGGAGUGUAAAAAGCUCCGGGAAUAAGGGCUGGGCAAGGCCGGUGGCAGCCGCCGCGGUAAUACCGGCGGCCC
This 426-nucleotide ribosomal RNA is filed under the name Thermococcus sp. 18S4. Its description in RNAcentral is "bacterial SSU rRNA". It matches the Rfam family "Archaeal small subunit ribosomal RNA", at positions 62 to 485 of the family's 1478-position model. The record is from RNAcentral. Lineage: Archaea; Methanobacteriati; Methanobacteriota; Thermococci; Thermococcales; Thermococcaceae.